UGAUGUGCUAAUGUGUCGGUUU
Molecule: microRNA, 22 nt
Filed under: Tribolium castaneum (red flour beetle)
Lineage: Eukaryota; Metazoa; Arthropoda; Insecta; Coleoptera; Tenebrionidae
Description: tca-miR-11624d-3p
Source: miRBase by way of RNAcentral